UGGCAUCAACACGUUCACCAUCGCUGGCGCAGUCUUCAUGCUCAGCACCGGGCUGUGCGGGCUGAUUGCCACCGUGUGGUAUUAUGUGGCUGUGAACAAUGAGGGAGAGCUGAUGGAGACCUGCAACGCGCUGCGCUGGGUGGGUGUCGGCGCGUCACUUUUGACCGGCAUUGGUUGGUUGGCGUCGUUCUGACCGUGCCUGGAAGAUUGCAGCCUCCACUUUUGCAACAUGAGGCUGCACAGAGAAUCGGUUGAUGCCCCCGCUGCCACCUUCGUCCCUUCCAAGCGGGCCGAGAGCAUCGACGUCUGAUGAGGUCGCGGGUCAUCUGUGUGCUUAAUCAACUUUGGUUUGUUGUUAUCAGGCUACAAUUUGCACAAAUGGUGAAAGCCUCCAAUCAAAAACAUUUGCGUUCAUUCUUGUCAAUUGUGUCAGUUAUAUUUGAUUCGAUAUUUGACGACAUGAUAGCGUCAGGUACACAUUGUUAGCUGGCUCAAGCACACAGUCCGUAUUAGCAAAGCCUUGGUCAUUUUUGUUAAUUGUUUGCAUGCACACUUGUUUUGAAUUUCCAUAAUAAAGUACUUCACAAAGAAA
Molecule: long non-coding RNA, 592 nt
Organism: Hippocampus comes (tiger tail seahorse)
Lineage: Eukaryota; Metazoa; Chordata; Actinopteri; Syngnathiformes; Syngnathidae
Exons: 2
Source: RefSeq, a predicted model, not a curated record